Molecule: ribosomal RNA, 253 nt
Filed under: uncultured bacterium
Lineage: Bacteria
Description: partial 16S ribosomal RNA
Rfam family: Bacterial small subunit ribosomal RNA
Source: RNAcentral
UACGGAGGGUGCGAGCGUUGUUCGGAAUUACUGGGCGUAAAGCGCACGUAGGCGGAUUUGUAAGUCAGGGGUGAAAUCCCGGGGCUCAACCUCGGAACUGCCUUUGAUACUGCAAAUCUCGAGUCCGAUAGAGGUGGGUGGAAUUCCUAGUGUAGAGGUGAAAUUCGUAGAUAUUAGGAAGAACACCGGUGGCGAAGGCGGCCCACUGGAUCGGUACUGACGCUGAGGUGCGAAAGCGUGGGGAGCAAACAGG